This 32-nucleotide transfer RNA is filed under the name Bothriocroton undatum (goanna tick). RNAcentral's name for it is "partial tRNA-Trp". Lineage: Eukaryota; Metazoa; Arthropoda; Arachnida; Ixodida; Ixodidae. The record is from RNAcentral.
UCAAAGUAAAAAUUACUUUUAAGUAAAUCUUA